CGGAUCUCAAAGCCUGUCCCAGUUCGGACUGGAGUCUGCAACCCGACUCCACGAAGUUGGAUUCGCUAGUAAUCGCGCAUCAGCCAUGGCGCGGUGAAUACGUUCCCGGGCCUUGUACACACCGCCCGUCAAGCCAUGGGAGCCGGGGGCGCCUGAAGUCCGGGACCGCGAGGACCGGCCUAGGGCGAAACUGGUAACUGGGGCUAAGUCGUAACAAGGUAGC
Molecule: ribosomal RNA, 223 nt
Filed under: uncultured bacterium
Lineage: Bacteria
Description: partial 16S ribosomal RNA
Rfam family: Bacterial small subunit ribosomal RNA
Source: RNAcentral